GAUGAACGCUGGCGGCGUGCCUAAUACAUGCAAGUCGAGCGAACAGACGAGGAGCUUGCUCCUCUGACGUUAGCGGCGGACGGGUGAGUAACACGUGGAUAACCUACCUAUAAGACUGGGAUAACUUCGGGAAACCGGAGCUAAUACCGGAUAAUAUAUUGAACCGCAUGGUUCAAUAGUGAAAGACGGUUUUGCUGUCACUUAUAGAUGGAUCCGCGCCGCAUUAGCUAGUUGGUAAGGUAACGGCUUACCAAGGCAACGAUGCGUAGCCGACCUGAGAGGGUGAUCGGCCACACUGGAACUGAGACACGGUCCAGACUCCUACGGGAGGCAGCAGUAGGGAAUCUUCCGCAAUGGGCGAAAGCUUGACGGAGCAACGCCACGUGAGUGAUGAAGGUCCUCGGAUCGUAAAACUCUGUUAUUAGGGAAGAACAAAUGUGUAAGUAACUAUGCACGUCUUGACGGUACCUAAUCAGAAAGCCACGGCUAACUACGUG
Molecule: ribosomal RNA, 497 nt
Filed under: uncultured bacterium
Lineage: Bacteria
Description: partial 16S ribosomal RNA
Rfam family: Bacterial small subunit ribosomal RNA
Source: RNAcentral